Molecule: long non-coding RNA, 606 nt
Organism: Glycine soja
Lineage: Eukaryota; Viridiplantae; Streptophyta; Magnoliopsida; Fabales; Fabaceae
Exons: 2
Source: RefSeq, a predicted model, not a curated record
GUUCGUAGGCACAAAAGCUUAAAUUUUUUGUGGUGUUCUGCCUUUAUUUUGUUUUCUGACUUCUCCCAAUACAAAAGUUUAAAUUUUUUUGUGUUCUUUUGGCAUGUUGUAUGUAGAGAAGGUGGAAAAACACAUUAAAGUUGCGAUUUUUAUCUCAAAAACUUCAUGGGUUCAGAGAAGGUGGAAGAAGACACUGAAGCUGCCAUUUUUUACUCCAAAAAGCUUCCAUUUUUAUCUCAUUUUUAUGUCAAAAGGUUUGUCUCCUUUGUUUCUCUGUCUACAUGUUCGUUUUCUUUGUUUCUUUGUUUCUCCAUCUUCCUUUUUCGUUCCUCUCCAUUCAUCUUCCUUCAUAUUUUGUUUUCUUUGUUUCUUUGUUUCUCCAACUUCCAUUUUCGUUAGUCUUCAUUCCUCUUCAUAUUCCGUUUUACUACUAUUUUUGUUUUAGUUCCAUUUUUGUUUAUGUCGCUGCAUGUUAAUUAUUUUUUAUGAAUCGUUAUUGUAUGUAGAGAAGGUGGAAGGAGACACUAAAGGUGCCAUUUUUAACUCCAAAAACCUUCGAUUUUUAUCUGAUUUUUAUCUCAAACAAGAUUCUUUUCUUUGUUUCUC